GACGAACGCUGGCGGCGUGCCUAAUACAUGCAAGUAGAACGCUGAAGAGAGGAGCUUGCUCUUCUUGGAUGAGUUGCGAACGGGUGAGUAACGCGUAGGUAACCUGCCUUGUAGCGGGGGAUAACUAUUGGAAACGAUAGCUAAUACCGCAUAACAAUGGAUGACACAUGUCAUUUAUUUGAAAGGGGCAAUUGCUCCACUACAAGAUGGACCUGCGUUGUAUUAGCUAGUAGGUGAGGUAACGGCUCACCUAGGCGACGAUACAUAGCCGACCUGAGAGGGUGAUCGGCCACACUGGGACUGAGACACGGCCCAGACUCCUACGGGAGGCAGCAGUAGGGAAUCUUCGGCAAUGGGGGCAACCCUGACCGAGCAACGCCGCGUGAGUGAAGAAGGUUUUCGGAUCGUAAAGCUCUGUUGUAAGUCAAGAACGAGUGUGAGAGUGGAAAGUUCACACUGUGACGGUAGCUUACCAGAAAGGGACGGCUAACUACGUGCCAGCAGCCGCGGUAAUACGUAGGUCCCGAGCGUUGUCCGGAUUUAUUGGGCGUAAAGCGAGCGCAGGCGGUUUGAUAAGUCUGAAGUUAAAGGCUGUGGCUCAACCAUAGUUCGCUUUGGAAACUGUCAAACUUGAGUGCAGAAGGGGAGAGUGGAAUUCCAUGUGUAGCGGUGAAAUGCGUAGAUAUAUGGAGGAACACCGGCGGCGAAAGCGGCUCUCUGGUCUGUAACUGACGCUGAGGCUCGAAAGCGUGGGGAGCGAACAGGAUUAGAUACCCUGGUAGUCCACGCCGUAAACGAUGAGUGCUAGGUGUUGGAUCCUUUCCGGGAUUCAGUGCCGCAGCUAACGCAUUAAGCACUCCGCCUGGGGAGUACGACCGCAAGGUUGAAACUCAAAGGAAUUGACGGGGGCCCGCACAAGCGGUGGAGCAUGUGGUUUAAUUCGAAGCAACGCGAAGAACCUUACCAGGUCUUGACAUCCCGAUGCUAUUUCUAGAGAUAGAAAGUUACUUCGGUACAUCGGUGACAGGUGGUGCAUGGUUGUCGUCAGCUCGUGUCGUGAGAUGUUGGGUUAAGUCCCGCAACGAGCGCAACCCCUAUUGUUAGUUGCCAUCAUUCAGUUGGGCACUCUAGCGAGACUGCCGGUAAUAAACCGGAGGAAGGUGGGGAUGACGUCAAAUCAUCAUGCCCCUUAUGACCUGGGCUACACACGUGCUACAAUGGUUGGUACAACGAGUUGCGAGUCGGUGACGGCAAGCUAAUCUCUUAAAGCCAAUCUCAGUUCGGAUUGUAGGCUGCAACUCGCCUACAUGAAGUCGGAAUCGCUAGUAAUCGCGGAUCAGCACGCCGCGGUGAAUACGUUCCCGGGCCUUGUACACACCGCCCGUCAAGGGCGAAUUCCAG
This 1401-nucleotide ribosomal RNA is filed under the name uncultured organism. RNAcentral describes it as "SSU rRNA". It matches the Rfam family "Bacterial small subunit ribosomal RNA". The record is from RNAcentral.